CAAUAGCGUAUAUUAAAGUUGUUGCGGUUAAAAAGCUCGUAGUUGGACUUCUGUUGAGAGAUACCGGUCCAUGCAACGCAUGCGUAUUUGGUAAGUCUCGGCAUCCUCUCGAAAAACUUCUUUGCGCUUGAUUGCGUGAAAAGAGUUUCGGGACUUUUACUUUGAGGAAAUUAGAGUGUUCACGGCAGGCCAUCGCCAGGAUACAUUAGCAUGGAAUAAUACUAUAGGAUCUUGAUCCUAUUUUGUUGGUUUCUAGGAUUAAGAUAAUGAUUAAUAGGGACAAUUGGGGGCAUUCGUAUCAACACGUCAGAGGUGAAAUUCUUGGAUUGUGUUGCGACGAACUACUGCGAAAGCAUUUGCCAAGGAUGUUUUCAUUGA
This 378-nucleotide ribosomal RNA is filed under the name uncultured eukaryote. RNAcentral describes it as "partial 18S ribosomal RNA". It matches the Rfam family "Eukaryotic small subunit ribosomal RNA", at positions 592 to 976 of the family's 1831-position model. The record is from RNAcentral.